Nematostella vectensis (starlet sea anemone) is the source of this 837-nucleotide long non-coding RNA. RefSeq lists it as uncharacterized. The transcript has 3 exons. The record is from RefSeq and is a predicted model, not a curated record. Lineage: Eukaryota; Metazoa; Cnidaria; Anthozoa; Actiniaria; Edwardsiidae.
UUCCCCACAAGACCGCGCGCUUCAAGUUAGAACAAUAUGGCGGCCAAGCGGUAGUCUGUGUGCCAACAAAAUGAAUAGAAACCCUGCUAAAUCAGUGCAGCGUGCAAAAGCAAGGCUAGCUACUCUCAGUAAAGCUAUUGCUCAGUGUAAGGCAGAGGCAAGUGCCUAUGCAAGAUGUGCAUCUCAAAAUGACAGUGUGCUGAAGAAUGGUUGUGAGAGGGAGUUCUUGGCUUUUAAAGCAUGCACACAGAAAGCUGCAAAAAGUUUGAAGAAAUAAACACCUCAAGAUCCUGCCAAAUUGCUGAUGAGCUUUCUGAUGUCAAGACAAGCCUAGAGGAGAAAAAUUAUAACUUUUUUUAGGGGGGUAGUGAGGGAAGGAGGGGGAUUUUUGUCAAGUUUGGCCAUCAAGUUCUUUUGGGAUUGAGCUAAAGGAAGUGCCAUACUGCUUGUUUUAUUAUGCCCCAUCCACAAGCAGGCCUGUAGCAAGGAUUUUAAGCGGGGGGUUGAAACAGGGGUUCGUUAACCCAUUUAGCUAAGGUAGCUUUCCCAAGCUCGCAGUGGUACUUAAUUUACCUUUAACCUCCCCUGACUACAAGACUGACAGGACUACACUAUUUAAUGUUGGUGUGAUUAAUAGCAGAACUCCUUCUGUAUGCAAGGUCAAGGAGCGAAGUGAGGGCUGUAUUCUAACUUAAGAAUAUGCCUUUUUAUAAUGUCAAAUGCUUUAAUUAUGUCUGAUUCCAUAGAAAUGAUACAUGACAGUGGUUAUUUUAGGGCAAUCUCUGUCUUGAUCACUGUAUUUUCUGCAUUGUCUUCAAAGUAAACAGAUAGAAAAUA